RNAcentral lists this long non-coding RNA (951 nucleotides) under Brassica napus (rape). RNAcentral's name for it is "long non-coding RNA (BNAP_LNC009538)". The record is from RNAcentral. Lineage: Eukaryota; Viridiplantae; Streptophyta; Magnoliopsida; Brassicales; Brassicaceae.
AAAUCCAUACCAUAGGGACGAUAAUUACAUUUUAGCUUUGUGUCUAGGUUAUUGUUAUUUCCUGUGUCAAAGAUUGAAUCACCAAAGAAAAACACAGCCGGUAUGGUUUUGUUCUGUGGCUUAGGUGGUGAUGGGGCAGGUGGCUUGGGUGGGCUAGGUUUUGGCGAUGGUGCAGGUGGCUUGGGUGGGCUAGGUUUUGGCGAUGGAGAAGGUGGUGGAACAGGUUUCGGAGCUGGACUAGGUGGUGGCUUAGGUGGUGAUGGUGAUGGACCUGGCUUUGGUGAUGGACCAGGUGCUGGUGGUGGCUUUGGUUGCGGUUUUGGUGGUUGCGGUGGGCAUGGAGACGGGGUAGGUGCCGGUGGUGGCUUUGGUUGCGGCUUUGGUGGUUGCGGUGGGCAUGGAGACGGGGUAGGUGCCGGUGGUGGCUUUGGUUGCGGCUUUGGUGGUUGCGGUGGGCAUGGAGACGGGGUAGGUGCCGGUGGUGGCUUUGGUUGCGGCUUUGGUGGUUGCGGUGGGCAUGGAGACGGGGUAGGUGCCGGUGGUGGCUUUGGUUGCGGCUUUGGUGGUGGCUUUGGUUGAGGCUUAGGUGGUAUUGGUGGACAUGGAGAUGGACCAGGGGCCGGUGGCUUUGGUUGAGGCUUAGGUGGUAUUGGUGGGUUUGGAGAUGGUCCAGGUGUUGGACCAGGCUUUGGUGAUGGGUUUGGUGGUGGGCCAGGUUGUGGAGGUUCCAUUGGCCAUGGAAACGGCCAAGGUCUCGUUGGCCAAGGCCUUGUUGGCCAAGGCCUUGUUGGCCAAGGCCUUGUUGGCCAAGGCCUUGACGGCCAAGGUCCCGCUGGCCACGGCCAGAGCCGUCGGUGGACUACUUGAGCAUGGGUCGUCGUCAAAAAGUAGAUACAAAAGGAUAUGAAAAAGAAAACAAAACGAAAUGUUAUCGAAUAAGAACAAGAAUGG